UCCUGGUAGCUCAAUCGGUAAAGAAUCUGCCUGCAGUGCAGGAGGCCUGGGUUCGAUCCCUGGGCCAGGAA
Molecule: transfer RNA, 71 nt
Filed under: Bos taurus (domestic cattle)
Lineage: Eukaryota; Metazoa; Chordata; Mammalia; Artiodactyla; Bovidae
Also listed under: 4 other names
Rfam family: tRNA
About the family: Transfer RNA (tRNA) molecules are approximately 80 nucleotides in length. Their secondary structure includes four short double-helical elements and three loops (D, anti-codon, and T loops).
Source: Rfam by way of RNAcentral